AUGAACGCUAGCGGCAGGCUUAAUACAUGCAAGUUGAGGGGCAGCAUGAUAUACGCGAGUAUAUUGAUGGCGACCGGCGGACGGGUGAGUAAUAGGUAGGAGACCUACCUCAUACAGGGGGAUAGCAUAGAGAAAUCUGUGGUAAUACCCCAUGAGGUUAUAUGAAUAGAGGCAUAUAAUCAAAGCAUAAGCGAUUAUGCGGUAUGAGAGGGGCCUACUGACCAUUAGCUAGUUGGUGAGGUAAGGGCUCACCAAGGCGAAGAUGGUUAGGGGUUUUGAGAGAGAGACCCCCCACAUUGGAACUGAGAGACGGUCCAGACUCCUACGGGAGGCAGCAGUAGGGAAUAUUGGGCAAUGGGCGAAAGCCUGACCCAGCCAUGCCGCGUGAAGGAAGACGGCCUUAUAGGUUGUAAACUUCUUUACUACGCGAAUAGAGGUUAGUACGAGAUACUAAUAGGAAGGUAGUGUAGUAAAAAGCACCGGCUAACUCCGUG
RNAcentral lists this ribosomal RNA (494 nucleotides) under uncultured bacterium. RNAcentral describes it as "bacterial SSU rRNA". It matches the Rfam family "Bacterial small subunit ribosomal RNA", at positions 30 to 507 of the family's 1533-position model. The record is from RNAcentral.